RNAcentral lists this unclassified non-coding RNA (378 nucleotides) under uncultured Muribaculaceae bacterium. RNAcentral describes it as "contains 16S-23S intergenic spacer region". Lineage: Bacteria; Pseudomonadati; Bacteroidota; Bacteroidia; Bacteroidales; Muribaculaceae. The record is from RNAcentral.
UCGCAGCUUGCGCCGGCAGUCCCGCCAGAGUUCCCGGCUUUACCCGUUGGCAACUGGCGGUAGGGGUUGCGCUCGUUAUGGCACUUAAGCCGACACCUCACGGCACGAGCUGACGACAACCAUGCAGCACCUCGACUCAGACCAUUGCUGGCUACAUCGUUUCCAAUAUAUUCCUGAGUCGUUUGAGCCCGGGUAAGGUUCCUCGCGUAUCAUCGAAUUAAACCACAUGUUCCUCCGCUUGUGCGGGCCCCCGUCAAUUCCUUUGAGUUUCACCGUUGCCGGCGUACUCCCCAGGUGGAGCGCUUAACGCUUUCGCUCGGACACCCAAGUCUCAUGCGACCCGGACACCUAGCGCUCAUCGUUUACUGUGUGGACUAC